GUGGGGAAUAUUGGACAAUGGGCGAAAGCCUGAUCCAGCCAUGCCGCGUGUGUGAAGAAGGUCUUCGGAUUGUAAAGCACUUUAAGUUGGGAGGAAGGGCAGUAAGUUAAUACCUUGCUGUUUUGACGUUACCGACAGAAUAAGCACCGGCUAACUUCGUGCCAGCAGCCGCGGUAAUACGAAGGGUGCAAGCGUUAAUCGGAAUUACUGGGCGUAAAGCGCGCGUAGGUGGUUUUGUAAGUUGGAGGUGAAAUCACCGGGCUCAACCUGGGAACUGCCUCCAAAACUGCAUGACUAGAGUACGGUAGAGGGUAGUGGAAUUUCCGGUGUAGCGGUGAAAUGCGUAGAAAUAGGAAGGAACACCAGUGGCGAAGGCGACUACCUGGACUGAUACUGACACUGAGGUGCGAAAGCGUGGGGAGCAAACAGGAUUAGAUACCCUUGUAGUCC
Molecule: ribosomal RNA, 450 nt
Filed under: uncultured bacterium
Lineage: Bacteria
Description: bacterial SSU rRNA
Rfam family: Bacterial small subunit ribosomal RNA
Source: RNAcentral